GUGGCCGUAGCUCAGUUGGUAGAGCACCUGCUUGUGGAGCAGGCUGUCGCGGGUUCGAAUCCCGUCGGUCACCCCA
This 76-nucleotide transfer RNA is filed under the name Candidatus Roizmanbacteria bacterium CG_4_10_14_0_2_um_filter_39_12. RNAcentral describes it as "tRNA-His". It matches the Rfam family "tRNA". Rfam says of the family: Transfer RNA (tRNA) molecules are approximately 80 nucleotides in length. Their secondary structure includes four short double-helical elements and three loops (D, anti-codon, and T loops). RNAcentral also lists the same sequence under 4 other names. Lineage: Bacteria; Candidatus Roizmaniibacteriota. The record is from RNAcentral.